This 2748-nucleotide long non-coding RNA is filed under the name Sorghum bicolor (sorghum). RNAcentral describes it as "long non-coding RNA (SBIC_LNC009994)". The record is from RNAcentral. Lineage: Eukaryota; Viridiplantae; Streptophyta; Magnoliopsida; Poales; Poaceae.
AAAGAUAAAAGUCUCUAGAAUUCUAGCAUCUCUAGGAACAGAUAAACAGCAGCUCAACCUUCCUAUAUCAUAUCCGUUAACGACACUUUCCCAACAAGUUCAGGUUUUGAGCAAAUCUUAAUUAAUAACAGUCAUGCCUAAACUUGAGAGAGAUUUCAAUUUUAAGAACUAGUCAUGGCAGAGCAACUAUUCAUCAUUUCCAUGUGAGAGCUUAUCAUGAGGGUUCAUAGCAAACUUUAUUUAUUUAUUUAUUUAGCAAACUAAGCAAAGAUAUAUAUAAGCACAAAAUCUUUAUUUGGGUUUUUAUGAUUAUGCAUCUUUUUAUUAUUUGAGUAAAGUAUAAACGUGAGUAGAACACUUAGCUGGAUAAACGGGGGUGCUCUCCCCCAAGGUGGAUUUUGAUGUAAUUCCUUUUGAUGUAGCAGGUGGCGGAGGUGUAUUUGAAUGUCGGUAGCACCCUGACAGUGAUUAGGAUGUCCUCCGUCUGCUAGUCUUCUUUGAUCCUUGAAUUCUGUGGAGCUCAAAUAGACAACAAAGCUUUGUGGAACUGGUUAAGUGUUAGCAUAAGUAUCUAGCCUUUAUCAUGUUGAGAGUCCUCAAUAAAUGUUACUCUCUUAGUAGAAUCAUUUAUUUUUAUAAUUUUAUUUUUAUAAGACAGGAAUAUAUUUAUUUCAUUUUUACACCACCACAGUGAAUGUACUUAUGGGUUUUGUGCCAUGAGCAUACUCACAUGGGGCUUACUAUUUUUAACAUUUUUAUUUUCUUUUUAAGAUGAUAUAAACCUGAUUAACUAAGCAAACUACUUUAAAUAAUUGAAAGGAAAAGGAUAACUACCACGUUUACCUCUUAGCAAGGCGUUUGUUGUUUUUAAGUCCUCCGAACGGGACUCUCCGUUUUCUCAGUCGUCCUGGGAUUCGCUGGAUGGCGUAGUCAGUGGUUCCGGCGGCGCCUCUUCUUCGUGUAUAACUAUCUUUUCUCUCCACACCUGACUUGGUGCUACGGUCUCCUCAGGACAGUUCUGUUCAAGCUGUAUGUCUUCAGACAUUACCACUUCUCCUUCUUAUUCCGCCCAUCCGUCCUUGAUGAUUUGCCUUCUCUGGUUGCGGUUGCGUCGUCUUCUUUGUUUUGACCUGCUUAGAUUCUUCAAUUAUAUAGUUAGGGUCAGUAAAAUAGCGGCGUACCUUCUCAGAGGGGAAGUGCAUGUGGACUUCUCUGGUUCCAAGGUAGAUGAUUGCUUUAAUAGUGCUGAGGAACAGUCUCCCAAGGAUGACGGGUGGAUCGUACUUGUCUUCUCCCAUGUCAAUGACCUUUCAGAAUGUCUAAUCUUCCAUCUGGAGCUGAGUCGUCCUUUUUGGUCAGAAACGGUGACUUAAGUCGACGAUCUUGACCUCCUUGAACUGCAGUGACCAUCUUAGCUGACUUGGUCCACAUUUGCUUGUUCCUGUUCUUCGUGUUGGUCCUCUUCCUUGGUUCAUGUCGGGAUUGCUCUGAGAUUUGUGUAAUCUUGUUCUUGAAGGAAAACGUCUCCUUCCUUCCCUUGAUGUAGAAACUGAUCUUGGCAGCACUAGCGUAGAUGACAGCUCCUGAGGUAUUUAGGAAUGGCCUCCCCUAGGCAUAAUGUUGACGCUGGAGCCAAAGUCGCAGAGUGCUUCUAGGAAGUCCACUAAACCGAUGGAGAUCGGGAUGACGGGGCGUCCUGGGUUGUCUCUCUUGACUAGCAGAAGAUCAGUAAUUACUUCCACAACGGGGUUACUCCAGUAGUUACGUCCUCAAGCAUCUCAGGGCAGUGAUUGCCUGAGUGUCCAGUAUCUCCAGUGUGUUUGUGCUCGUAGAUCUAGGUUCUUCACUUGGUGGAGUCUGGGAGUUGAAAAACUCCUUCAUAUUUUGCUCGAAGUGUCUUGCUCAUAGAAACAAGGCAGAGAUCAAGUGCAUGGGCCCUAUUGGUGGAAAACACCAACAGAACCAAAAUUGUAUUUGUUCUUCUCUAACCUUAAGCAUAGUGAGCAAGACAAAGUUGAUGGAUAAUAAGAUCAUGAGUGUAGCAUUUAAAACAUUUGUCAGAUCAGAUUGCUCAACCUAAUGGAAAGAUAAUCUAUCUAUACUUAUGUGUUUUCUCUUUUUUUUUAUAUAUAUCUUCCAAAGAUUGAGUGUGCAACACUUUAGCUCAUAUGAUUAGGAGUGUGGGAUCACAAAGGUGGAAGGACUAAACAUGUUGAAUCGAUUGGGUUGGUUAAUCUAGAGUUGUAAAUCAUACAUUUUUGUCUCUUUUAUUCAUGUGAACGCCAGAACCAAGGAGAAGCUUAUAAAAGUGAUAGUCAAGUACCUUAAGAUGUUACCUUACUUGAAGAGUGAUGGUUCAGUAUCACUUUGUGGAAGUUUUCCUUUCUUAGCGGUUGUGCAUCGUGUUCGUGGCACCCUCCAUGGAUCAUCUCUUGUGAGCUAUGUCUUCCUUGUGUAAAUUGUUAAACUUUAUGUGUCUCUCUCUUUGUCUCCAAUGUGGGUUUAUCUCAGGACUUCCCAGGUCGAUAUUGAAAGUUUUCCUACAGGGGUUAGUCCAACAAAAUAUCCAAUAUCUACUAUAGCAUACUAUCGGCUCAAAAAUCAACCUAGACACCAUGUCUAAUUUGAUUUAGGAGGGCAUUUUAACCUAAGCAUCAUGCUUAAUUUAAAAUCCUUUGGAAGUAAGAUCACCAUUCCUAAACUAAGCACCAUGCUUAAUUAAGAGAUAAAUGAAACUACUCCAAACCU